This 253-nucleotide ribosomal RNA is filed under the name uncultured bacterium. RNAcentral describes it as "partial 16S ribosomal RNA". It matches the Rfam family "Bacterial small subunit ribosomal RNA", at positions 524 to 776 of the family's 1533-position model. The record is from RNAcentral.
UACGAAGGGGGCUAGCGUUGCUCGGAAUCACUGGGCGUAAAGGGUGCGUAGGCGGGUCUUUAAGUCAGGGGUGAAAUCCUGGAGCUCAACUCCAGAACUGCCUUUGAUACUGAGGAUCUUGAGUUCGGGAGAGGUGAGUGGAACUGCGAGUGUAGAGGUGAAAUUCGUAGAUAUUCGCAAGAACACCAGUGGCGAAGGCGGCUCACUGGCCCGAUACUGACGCUGAGGCGCGAGAGCGUGGGGAGCAAACAGG